This 24262-nucleotide long non-coding RNA is filed under the name Phoenix dactylifera (date palm). Its description in RNAcentral is "long non-coding RNA (PDAC_LNC002372)". The record is from RNAcentral. Lineage: Eukaryota; Viridiplantae; Streptophyta; Magnoliopsida; Arecales; Arecaceae.
UGUUUGCUGUUUGGUAACUACAUUCGUAAAGUGCUGUGGUACUUUAUUUUGUGUUUGGUAAACAAACUGAGAAAGUACUUUUGUAUGACAAAAUUACCAUAAAGGACAUUACAUAGUAUUAUACAAUAGAACAUAAUAAAAUAUAACAUAAAUUAAUACAUAAAUAUACGAUAUAUUAUAAUAUUAUUGUAAUAUAAAAUAAUAUUAUGCUAAUAUAGCAUAGUAGUAAUAUAAUUAUUAGAGUAAAUUAAUAUUUGGAAAUAUAACAUAAUAUUAAAUUAUUUAACAUAACAUAUUAAUGUAUUAUGAUAUAAUGUAAUAUAUAUUAUAUUUAUAGUAUAAUACAAUAAUAAAAGUAUAAAAUAUUAUAAUUAUUAGUAUAAAUUAAUUUCUCAUAAUAUAACAUAAUAUUAAAUUAUUUAAAAUAACAUAUUAAUGUAUUAUAAUGUAAUGUAAUAUAAUAUAAUAUUUAUAGUAUAAUAUAAUAAUAAAGGUAUAAAAUAUUAUAAUUAUUAUUAUAAAUUAAUUUUCCAUAAUAUAACAUAAUAUUAAAUUAUUUCAAAUAACAUAUUAAUGUAUUAUAAUGUAAUGUAAUAUAAUAUAAUUUUUAUAGUAUAAUACAAUAANNNNNNNNNNNNNNNNNNNNCUUCUGAACUUAUCACUAGAAAUCUAUUGGCAUUACUAUUGGCUGCAUAACCUAUGAAUAUGGCAUCCACUGUUUUAGGGCCUAUUUUCUUUCUCUUAAAAUCAGGUAUUUUUACUUUUGCCAAGCACCCCCACACUUUUAAAUAGCUAAGAUUAGGUUUUCUAUAUUUCCAAACUUCAUAUGGGGUUAGAUCAUUAUUUUUAGAGGGAAUCCUAUUAAGGAUAUAACAGGCUGAAACAAGAGCUUCCCCCCACAAAUUUUCUGGCACUCCUGAGCUUAUAAGCAUGGAGUUCACCAUAUCCAUUAAAGUCCUAUUCUUCCUUUCUGCUACUCCAUUUGACUGGGGAGAACAUGAAUGAUUCCAUGAUCUUCACAAAAUUGAGUUAUAUCAUUGGAUGUAUAUUCACCUCCUCGAUCUGAUCUAAGAAUUUUAAUUUUCUUUUUUUGUUGGUUCUCAGCUUCGAUCUUAAAUAUUUUAAAUUUGCUGAGCACCUCAUCCUUGAUUUUAAUUAGAUAGAUAUAACAGAAUUUGGAUAGAUCAUCUAUGAAGGUCACAAAAUAUUUGUUACCUCCUCUAGAAGUUCUACCAGAGUCACAAACAUCACCAUGGAUCAACUCUAAUAGAUCUAAAUCCCUAUUAACGGAUUUAAAAGGCUUUNNNNNNNNNNNNNNNNNNNNACGGUCCAGGGGCUCUUCUUCGUGGUCCACGCUCGAGGAGGACCUCAGCGUGGGCCGCGAGGUUGAUGAUAAAAAAAAACAAUAGAUUGAUUUUGGAAGGUAUGGAAAAGGAUUAAAAUUUUUUUCUUCUAAAAUGUGGUUCAAGAAAUGCAUACAAAAAUUGAAAAGAAAAAUACAUUUUCUUACGGAAGGGAGUCUGACGGCUAGGAUUCUUGGCUCCAGCAGAUUUUUAGGUUUAUAAAGGGACAAACUAUAAAAUUAUGUUAUUUUAAUAUGGACAUUUUUGUCAAAAAUACAGCUUUCCGAAAAAGCUGAAACAGCUUCCUCCCAAAAGCUUCAAAUUGGAGCUUUCUUCCAAAAGCUAUUUUCAGCUUCCCGCAAAAGCUGAAACAGCUUUUUGAAAAAUUUACCAAACACAGUUUUUCAUCUAAAAGUACUUUUGGAGGGCCAGAAAGUGCUUUCUGGCCCUCCAAAAGCUCCCCAAACAGGGCCUAAAUAGAUGGUUGGUAGCAAUGGUCACGGAGCUACGGAAUCUUAAUGGGCAGAGUUGUAACUUUCAACAGGAAGGAGGAUUUACCUUUUUUUUUUUUUUUGCACAAAUCUACUAUUAGGUCGGUUGUACAAGGAUCGCUUCAAAAUCUAUUCAGUGACUGAAUAAAUUCAAUGUGAUCUAUGAAAAAUAUGUUCCAACAGCUGAUAUCGAAAAAAAAAUCAAUCAUUAUUUCAUGCAAAACGUACAAUCUGAACCCCACCAACCGUAUGGACCAAUUGCAUUCUAGAAAUUUUUCAAUUUUUAUUGACGUUGAAAAAUAUAUUUUCCAACAAUUUUCUCGUGGAAACAAAAAAUAAUAAUAAAAAAAGGAGUUGUGGAUAAGGCUCCUUGUGGUGGGAUACGGUCCACUGGAUGAGAGAGAUAAUAAUCCUAUAAUAUACCGGAUCUGCGUGCAUAGAAUUAUUUGGUAAGAGAGUCUGAAUGCGACCAAAGUAACCGGCCUUUACAGUAAAUUGCAUUCUUGAGAAACACACCUAUCCUUUAUAGAUGGUUGGUUGCUAUGGUCACGAAGCUUCGGAAUCUCACGGUCAUGGACAGGGCUAUAAGGAGAGUCUAUCUUACUUUGCACGAAUCUAUUAUUAGAUCGCACAAAAAUCACUUUAAAAUUUAUAUAGAUAGAUGAAUGAAUAAAUAUAAAGCACUUUGAGAUCUACAAAAAUUGCGAUCCAACUAUUAAUGCUGUGAAAAAAAAUCAACCCUACUUUCAUGCAAAACAUGCAACCCGAACCCCACCAACCAUAUGGAGCAAUUUCGUUUUCUAUAAAUCUUCCUAUUUUUAUUGGUGUUGAAAAUAUAUGUUUCAACAAUUUUCUCGUGGAAACCAAAAAAGAAGAAAAAAAAAAGGGAAGGGCAGAGAGCCGUCGGAGUCUUAAUUUGUCUUUAUAUUACUGACAUCCAAUGGAAAGCUCCCAGAGAUAUUGUUGGUCUACCUCUUAGUCAAAUGACUCUUUGAAUUAUUGUGCACAAUUAAACCAAUGCAGAAUUAUUGAUUAUUCAAACAUUAUAGAAGGAAUUUAUGAUUUGUUCAUUGGUUAUUUGUGCUAAUUUAAGAAAUUUUUAUACUAGAUUUGUUGUUUGUACUACUGUUUUUGCUAUCGGCUAAGUGGCUUUCCCAUAUUUAUAUUAUGCAAGUAAAUAUAAUGAUAGCUCAGAAAGCGCUUUUAAUAAGUUUUGAUUGGUUGUAGGUAUAACAACUCCAUAAAACAUUAAUCGGGAUUCUCUGUUGUACGGCUUGUGCACCGCAGAGUGUUGUAUAUCCCUAAAUGACGACCAUCAGGAGACAAAUGGCUACUAAAUAAUAUGUACCGUGUAUGACAUGAUACGCACUCAUGGACUGCCUUGUUUAAUAGCCGCCGAUCUCUUGAUGGUAGCCAACUACGGCCUACAGUUCUCUGAGGUGCUACGUGUGUACUGCAGAGGACCUGUGUCCAUAAAACAUACUUAUUUCUAUCUUAUGACCUACAAAAUAGCAUGGCCAACUCUGCUUCCAUAUAAUCAAGACAUCUCUAGGCUCCUACAUGUAGCAGAACAAGCUUAUAGGCAAUCUACAGCUCAUAAAGUGCCUACUUCACUCAUUUUCAUUGGACAAUACCUAACCUGCAGUAAUAUGGUGCAAGUUGAGCUAGUUUAGCAAAACCUGACUUGACUUGAUUGGGUUGGGCCAAUAUAAACCUAACUGUUGGGUUUUGCUAGGGUUCGAAAUUGUCGUCACAACUUCAAGGUAGGUGAAGGUUGGGUUGAAAGUUUGGCAGCCAGGAUCCAAACCAAAUUUCUACAUUUUAGUAUUUAAACCAACCCAAUUCAAGCUUCUUGUUGUCUUAUUCUAAACAAACCUAAGUUUACUGAUACUUGUGGUAUAGAUUUCUGGAUCGAAUAUUGUUUGUAUUGACUUGAUCUAACUUGACCUAGACAUAUCCAGUCUAAAUUGUGUUUGGGUUGAAAAUUUAAAGUUGGAUCACGUUUGGGCAUUAUUAUUCGGUUGGGUUUGGAUUGGAUAUUUCUCUUAACCAAGUUUGGAUUAGGUCGGUACAUGUUUCAAGUGACCAACAAACUCAAGAACACCAAGGUAGCUCUGCGGAGAUGGAACAAAAGAUCGGUUGGAAAUAUUCAUGUGAGAUUGUAGAAUUUGGAGGCAGAGCUGGUUAAGCUUUAAUCAAAGGAAGCAAAUUCUGGAGGUUUACAUCAUAGCGCUCUACUGCUUCUUACUAAAUUGGCUGAGUAUAAUAGGUUCCUGAGAUAGCAAGAGACAUUUUGUGUCACACCCCCAACCCAAAAUCGUGAGUCAGAGAUCACGGCAAUCGCCGCAUACUCAUAAAAAACUCUUCCCACAAGCAAUAAAGGCAUCUCAUUCUGAUAUCAUAAACAAGCAGUGGAAUAAAUUUAAAUAAUCAAUAUUAAAACUUUAAUUUAAAUAAUUAGAAUCAUAUUUCAAUGUCACCAACAAUGUUUUAAAAAAAAUUACAUCAAACUCUAGUCAAACUCUGAUCUAAAUUAAAAAUAUUAAAUUCAGCCUCUAGUCACUUCUCGAUCAUAAUCUCAUGCCAUUUAGUUCUCAGAUCUAUAAAAACAGUAAGAUAUAAAGUAAUGAGCUAGAUAGCCCAAUAAGUAAUGAACACUUUAACCAAAAUAAUGAGGCAAUAAAUUAAAUAAUUAUUUACAAAAAAUAAGCAAAUGUAAAGUAUGCAGAUUUAUCAAAACAUUAUGCAUCCCAAAUUGAAUCUUUCCUAAAAUCAAAUUUUAUUUAUAAAUCCAAAUUCUUUCAAAUCAUUAAGUUUAUCUCGUCAACCAUGAACUAUGAUCACAUUUUUUCUAUGGCAGAAUCAUGAUAUUUUAUGUCUUCUUGCAGUGUCUGCACAUCAUCUUGUGGCAAAGUUCUUCAGGACUACGUAUCUGCUUGUGGUAUAUCGCACAUCUUCUUGUGACAUAAAUCUUUUAGGACAAAUCAAGUGCCAACAUAUUAGCCCCCAUUGGUGGGGUCCUUAAUAUAUCAGGCUAAGAGUUCAAAAUAAUCAUGCAGUUUAUAUCUCACUUCAACAAAAAUAUAAAAAAUCAUACGAUAUCGAAAUCAAUUGAACGAGUUCAAUAUUUCCAAGCAUGCAUCAUCAUAAUAUUCCAAAAUAAAGCAUAUUUAGUAAUAAAAUAUCGUUCAUCAAAUUCAUACGUCAUGAAUAGUAUGAUUCAAAUUUAUUAAUAUAAUAAUCUUAUAAUUUUUUGAUAAAUCUAGAAAAAGGAUCAUAUUACUUAUUGUGUGAGUGAAAUCAAGCGACAUAUUCAAUUAAUUUCUAAAAUUUCUCUCAGAAACUAAAACUCUAGCCAGGGGCAGCCCAAUGCAUUUGGGGGCCUAAGACGAACUUACUAAAAGAGGCCUUUUUUAAAUAAUAAUAAUAAUAAUAAUAAAUUUUUAAUAAGUGCAAAAUACUUUAAAAAUUUAUUUAAAAAUAAUCCGUCUAGCUUUUUGAGAUGCAAAAUUGCUAAUCAAACUUUUGUACUCAAGAUUCAUUAAAAUACUAUUUUUAAUCGAUAAUAUAGCUAAUCCAUUUAAUCUUUCUUGAGACAUAGUUGACCGCAAAUAAGAUUUUAUCAACUUUAAUUUUGAAAAACUUCUUUCUGCAGAAGCAACUGUUACUGGUAUUGUUAACAAUAUCCGGUAAGCAAUGCAUGCAUUUGGAAAAGAAUCUAUUUUUUUAAUAAAACUUAAAGUAUCAAUAGAGGUACUAGUUUCUAUUUGUAAAACUUCUUUUAAAACGUUUAACUCUGAAAACAGAUCAAGACCGUCAAUAUCAGAAUAUUCAUCGUGCUUUAAAAAGUUUUCAAGAUUAAGACAAUACCUUUUCAAAUUCUCUUCAUUCAAAGAUUUUAACUUACUAAAAUUAAACAAAAAACCAAAAAUAUCUUCAUAUAUGGUGAAUUGUUCAAACCUAUUUUGAAUUGAAGAAAUAGCUUGAUCUACUAUAUAUAAAAAGUAAUCAAUUCUAAAAGAUUUCUUCAGCUGAUCUUGUUGUCUCUUCAUCAGUAUUUUCAUCAAAUUAUUUUUUUCUACGGAUCACACGUUUUUCACGAAAUAUAGGUUCUAUUUUCAUUUCAUUUGCAAUUUCUUUAGAUGAAUUCAAAGCAUUCAUAAAUCCAUUUUCUCUAUAACUUUUCAAAUAAGAAAAAAGACCUUUUAAUUGAUCUAUAGCAACAUCAAUAUGCAUGUCUUCAGAUUGUAAGUUCUUACUAACUGAGUUAACAGCAAACAAUAUAUCGUACCAAAUAUUCAUGCCUAAUAAGAAUUCAAAAUUUUCAAUUUCAUAUGUAGCUAAGCAUAUAGCAUCACUCUUUAUUUUAGGAUCUUCACUAGUUUCUCCUAAUUAAACUAAGGCAUCUCUUAUUUUAGGAGCCUGAUGUUUAAUUGCUUUGAUACUUUCAAUACGACUUUUCCAACGUGUUUGUAACAAAGGUUUAAGAGUUAAUGUAGAUAUGUUAUCUUGUAAAAUUUUUCAUCGUUUUGUAGAAGAAGAAAAUAAGGUAUAAAUUCGUUGUAUCACUCCAAAAAAAGAUAUAGCCUUAAGACACGAGUUAGCAGUAUCACAUAAUACUAAAUUCAAAUUAUGACAUCCACAUGGUGUGUAAAAUGCUCUAGGAUUUAUAUCUAAUAAUCUCUUUUGUACACUUUGAUGUUUUUCUUUCAUAUUAAAUCCGUUGUCAUAUCCUUGUCCUCUUACAUCAUUAACCUCAAGUUUAUGUUUUUCUAUUAUAUUUAUAAGUUCAUUAAAAAGGCCCUUUCCAGAGGUAUCAUCUACUUCUAAAAAUUCUAAAAAAUAUUCUUCUACUUUUACUGAACUUGUUGAAGUAUCUACACAUCUUAAAACUAGGGUCAUUUGUUCCUGAUGGCUUGCAUCAGGAGUGCAAUCAAGUAUUACCGAAAAGUAUUUUGCUUCUUUAAUCUUUUUAAGUAUUAUAGCUUUAAUUUCAGAUGCUAACAUUUGAAUCAAUUCAUUUUGAAUAUUAUGACCUGAAUAAUGAUUGUAAAUUUCACUAUGUUGAUUGCGUCGAACAUGUUCUUGCAUUACUGGAUCAAAUUCUGCAAUCGUUUCAAUAAAACUUAGAAAAUUUUUGUUAUUGCUUUGAUAGAUCUUUUCAUUCUUUUCUCGAAAUGCUAAAUUAUAUUUUGCAAGAUUUUUUAUGACAAUAAUAAUUCUUAUAGAACUUUUUUUCAAUGAUCAUUUUCUUGGUUUAUUUGUUCUUGAAAACUUUUAUCAAUUAUCUUAUUUUUUAGCAAUCUCACUUCUAAAUUAAUCCACCUAUUCAUGCUAAUGAUAUGUUCAUUAGUUGUUUCAUGACUUUUAAGCUUGAUCCUAGAUUUUUCCAAUCUCUACUUUCUUCAUUGACUAAUUGACUCGUGCUAGGCUUUGAAUCAAAUAAUUUACAACAAAAACAAUAUACUCUAUCCAAAUCUUUCGAAUACACUAACCAUUUUCUAUCAUAUUUUUCACCAUUGGUAACUUACGAAUAUAAUAUAUCGUAGAGAAGUGUCUAUUAUUUUCAUCCUUAGAAAAAUGAAAAUCAUAAUUCCUAAUUAGACCUCUUUCCACUAUUAGAUCUCUAAAUUUUGUAUCAAUCAUUUUUCAUUGACCAGGAUCAUAUAAAUUUGUAGGAAUAGGACUAGUUUCACAAUCUUUUUCCUUGUUUAUCCUAUCUCCAUCUGAUUCUUCAUUGUAUUCUUCACUAGAUAUUGUUUCACUAGCAAUCUCAUUUUUUAACUCUAUUUCGGGUGCAUGUUCUGUUGCUAAUUCUUGAGUUGAAUUUGAUGUGAUGUUAUGUUUGUUUGUAACAACAAAUCUAUCUAGAGCUCCUUUUUGAGAUUGAAUGAGUUUAUUGAUUUUUUUUUUGAGUUUUUCAUAUCCACAGUCAUAUUUUCUAUUAGACAUUUUAAUCUAUAAAUAAGAUUAUCAAACUAAGCAAUUAAAGAAACACUACAAACAAAUCAAAAUAUAAAAAAGUUAAAAAUGAUAAAACUUAAUUAAUUGUGUCAAGAAAACAAACUCGGGUCCUGAUAAGUAGUGCUGAACUUAAUUGUGUCGAGAAGAGGCGGAAUUGAGACGAACUCGACGGCGAGAAGAGGCCGAAUAGUGUCGAACUGCUAAAGUCACAACCAAUCUACAAUUAGACCAAAAAAUAACCAAUUCUAGUGUCUCUUACUUGACUAAAUAAAAAUUAAUUGGACCAAAAAUUAAUUAAUAAACUAACUCACCUGCCUCACUGCCUGGGAUCAGUGGGAACUGGGAACUGGGAGUCUAGGAACUUGGGAAGUGGGAUGCUAAUGCCGAACGGAGGAGCUGAGGUCUGAGGAGAGGACGGGAGGCCUCGGUCGCCUAAGGGCUAAGGCUCGAGUCGUGGGCCCGUGGCCGUGGGUGGGGGGCCUCGGUCGGGACUCGGGAGGAGGUCGGAGGAGCCGAGGACGGCGAGGAGAGCUGGAGAGGAUGGGAGGCCUCGGUCGGGACUCGGGAGGCCUUGGUCGGGAUUCGGGAGUCGGGAGGCCUCGGUUGGGACUCGGGAGGCCUCGGAGGAGCCGAAGACGGCGAGGAGAGCUGGAGUCUGGAGAGGACGGGAGGCCGGAGCUGAGGAGGCCGGAGCUCGAAGCCGAGGAGCACGGUGCACCGUGGACUUUAGAGCAGUCCGAGCUUGGAGGCCUCGGUCGCCGCGGAGCCAGGAGGUCGGAGCCUCGGAGGAGCCGAGGACAGUGAGGAAAGCUGGAGAGGACGGGAGGCCGGAGCUGAGGAGGCCAGAGCUCGGAGCCGAGGAGGAGCAUGGUGGACCGUGGACUUCAAAGCGGUCCGAGCUUGGAGACCUUGGAGGACGGGAGGAGCCGAUUGCCGAGGACGGCGACGUCGGUGAGGAGAGCUGGAGAGGACUGAGAGCCAAGCUUAAAACCGAUUCUUUUGCACUCUGCAAGCCAAGCUACCGAGUCUGCCAAGAACUGGAGAAGGUUCAGCAUUAAAAAGAAAGCACCGGCAGGCCGCAGGUGGCAGAGAAGGGGGGAGCCGGGGAGGAAAUGCUCGUUGGCCGUUGCUUGUCGAUGUUGUUGUAGCCGGUAGCCGUUGCCCAGGGCCUACGCCGCUAUGCGCCUAGCCUGUGACCCUGUCUAUCGUCGGGGAGACGCUGAAGGGCCGAAGGGGACUCACUGUAGCGGCGUACGGGUGUAGCCCGGUGGCCGUCGCCCAGUCCCCGUUUGCCAGACGCCAAUGCCCACUGCCCAGCUAUCCUUUCACAUCCGUCGCCAACUCCCGUCUGCCAUUAAUUAAGCAAAAAAAAAAAACGAGCCGUGGGUGGGGGCGGUCGCCUAAGGCUCGAGCCGGCACUGACUCUAGCGAACGCUCAAUUAAAAUUCCAGUGAGUACAGUGAGCCAAUAGUGUUGAAGUCAAGAGGAGAAAAAGGGACCGACGAUGAUCUAGCGAUGAUGAUCUGCAAAACAUGCCAGCGAUGAGGCGAAAGGGGGUGUCGGGGUGUAGCAAUGAUGCUUGGCAAAACUUUGCUAGCAGAUGGAACCAGGACCCACACACAGUACCACCUAGUCUCCCACCUCCGAGAAAUAGAUUGGAUGAAGAAGACGGACGAUGGAUCUUAGCAGAAAUCACUGAAAUAGAAGUUAUGGCAACUCUAAAAUCUAUGGAUUCCAACAGAUCUCAUGGGCCUGACGGUUUCUCACCUAGUUUCUGCAAGGGUUAUUGGAAUAUCAUUGGUAUGGAUAUAUGCAAAGCUAUCAAAGAGUGCUUUAUAAGAAGUCAAAUGCCAGAGGCAUGGAAGAGAACUUUUGUCACGCUAGUUCCAGAGUGCAGUACGCCUACUGUGCGAAAUCAUUAUAGAGGAAUAGGCAGAUUUCAUAAGGGGGCAAAAUAUCUCUGACAAUGUGAUUUUAGCUCAGGAGGUUAUUCACUCAUUGCAUAAAGUUUCGGCUGCAGACUCUUUAAUGAUGAUUAAGUUAUAUAUGUAAAGAGCCUAUGCCAAGGUUGAUUGGAAUUAUUUGCAUGCAGUGUUACGUCAUUUCAAUUUCCAUUAAAAAUUCAUAAAGUGGAUCGAGGCUUGUGUAAAGUUCCCUUUCUUUUCAGUGUUGGUUAACGGUACACCUAGUGAUUUUUUCAAAAGUCCAGUAUAAGGCAGCACCAAGGUUGUCCACUACCACCAUACCUAUUCAUCCAAUGUUCUAAGAUGUUCAGUAGUGCCAUCCUGGUGGAAGCUCAAGCAGGUAAUAUUCAUGGAUAUAGGCAAAUAGAAGAAGUCCGCUAGAGAGUUAUUAUUAUUUGCUGAUGACUUCCUUCUGAUCUCUAAGGCGAGACUAAAAGAUUGUAGAGCCUCUUGCUUCUUACUGUAUGCAGUCUGGGCAGACGGUAAACCGCAAACCUCGACAAAUCUAUGGUUCAAUUCAGUCCAAAAUCCCUGAGGCUUCAUGUUGUUGAAUAUACAAGCUGUUCGCAAGUUCAAAAAGCAGAUGAGCUGAGUCAGUAUCUUGGCAUGCCACUUAAAGGAAGAAGAUUAACAAUGGGAGAAAUGAAGAUAAUGAUGGACAGAAUUAAUGGUCAGCUAGAUUCUUCGAAAUGGAAGUUGUUGUCUUCGGCAGGAGGGCUACUUUAGUGAGGUCAGUUCUAUGCUCUCUGCCCGUUCAUGAUUUCCAAUACAGUAAAAGUUCCAAGAAGUUUGAUAGAUUGGUUUAACAGAACUUUGAGGAACUUUGUGUGGGGGAGUCAUACAUGAUAGCACAAGAAGUCAUAAGGCAAUGGGAGGUUUGGGAAUUCCAAAUACUGAAUAUUGGUGGGAAGGAUUGAUGAGCAAAGUAGCUGGUAAGAUUGCUUAUCUAUAUUCAUAUAUAUCUAUAUAUGUAUGCAUGAAUGCAUGUAGGCAUAUGUGUGUAUUAAACUUGUAGUUUGUAAAUUUAAGAACAAUCAAUUACUUGGAUGAAAUUAAAAUUUUUUGAAUGAUUUAAAUUACUCCUUUUGGUUUUAUUUAAAUUCUAAGUUAUUUUAUAUUUAAUUAUUUAUUGUUAUAUUUUAGCUAUAAAUACAUAACUAGCAUCUUGACACAACCUAAAAAUCUGACUGAACUCAACAUGAAAACAUUUCUCUUACUUGUCCCCGACCCAACCCAAUCAAUUAUUGGUUGGGUACAGUUCCCAACCUAAAUAUUAUAAUAAUAUUAUUAUAUUAUAAUGUUGUAAUAGUAUUUUAGUACAAUAAUAAUAUUUUAAUUACAAGGAUACGGAAAAUGGAAUAGUUGGAGUGUUAAGCGACCCUUUCUAAAGGGUUUUCUGAAUUACAAGAUUCUAUUGGAAUUGUAUUGAAAUUUGGCUGCAAUUCCAAUUAUACGUUUUUGGGGCUUUACAGGCAUCCAUAUAUUUCUUUUAGGCAUCUGUAAUUCUAUUGCAGGCAAUUGCAGCUGCAGCUUGCUAAUUGCAGUCAAUCAAACAUUUACAUCCUUUCCAUUGAUUUUUAUAGUUAGAUUUAUCCCUUUUUUGGCAAGAAAAAUAAUUGCCUUUUAAGGAUUAAAUCUUGAUUCACUUGGUAUGAUUCCUACAGUCAAUUGCAAAUAUCUAAUACCAACUAGUAAAUAUCUAGCUCAUAAAUUGCUGAAAUGUUUUAAUAUGCUACCAUGAGGUUAGCUCAAUUUAUGGCAUUGGAAGGCAGUCCUGUUUUGGUGACAUGUAAUUUUUAUUCAAACCCCCCCAGAAGUGCAUGGUUUGGGUGUUCAUCAAAUGAGACCGUACAUUGAUUCUUUUCAUUUUUCUCAAUUGCCUUGAUUGGUAAUUCAAUGUUAACGUGCCAGCUCAAUGAGGUGCUGGCAUCCAAGACUUUUACGGCAUUGAGUGGAGCUAGUUUAGCACCUAGUUAUUUAUGUGAAGAAGCACUUUCAUGAACUUUAUAAAGCCAUGCCAAUUGCUGAUAGAAAUACAAUCAGCAAUCUAGGAUUGAAAUCGAAUCGGAUACUAGUAUAUCGAUAUCCAUAUUUGUUUUGUUUGAUAAAUAUAGAUAAAAAUAGGAAUGCUAGUCGAAUGCAAAAAUUUAUAUCUAUAUUUGUUUUAAACAGAAACGGAUACAAAUCAAAUAUAAAUAUAAAUUAAAUUAUUAAAUUUUAUAUUCGUAAAACUAAAAAUAUUAUGAAGUGAACGAUAAAUCAAGUUAAUAGCAUAUUAAUAUAGUCGUUUAUUUUUCUUAAAAGUUCAUAAGACUAUAAAAAAUUAGGUAAAGUUAAAAAUGGAAUCGGAUAUUUGAAUACGGAUUGAAUAGUUAUCUAUUCAAACCUAUUUUUUUUUGACAAAUAUGAAUAUAGAUAUCAGUCGGAUGCUCAAAUUUCUAUCCAUAUCUAAUAGAUUCAGAUAUGAAAAUAAAUUUGGACGAAUAUCAUCCGAUCUACUAUCACCUCUAUAGCAAUCUUUAGCAUUUCUGAUGGAAAAUGUGCUUUGCGCAAGCAUACGGCACAAUCUUUUCACUUAAUAAUGCUUUUCGCACUGACAAGCCUGAGUGCCUGCUUGUAGGAGAUAGAAUAACCAUUUCUUGAAGCAAUAUGUGAUAUCUUGUACAUCUUCUUCAGUCAUAAUGGUCCUGAUGAGAAAAAUGAACCGAAUUCCACAUGCCAAACUUUUACAUAUCAUUGAAAGAAUUUAUUUGCGCAACUUCAUCACAUAGGUGUGGUCAUACAAUUACAAGUUCUUGUCUGUUAUAUUUAUCCCCCAAUGAUUUAAUUUUCUCCAUUAGGAAAUUUGUUGUGCUUUGUCUCACAUCGUCUGGUGGUGGCGUGUGUCUGCAACACCUUCAAUCACCUGUCCCUUGUGCUAUAAUCCUAAAGUAAUCUGCACCAAGUAAAUAUUUAUGUGAAUAAACUCAAGGAGUCAGACAUUAUGUUGACAAGCAUAAAUAUAUGUAUUUCAUGGUUCCCAGAAUUUGGACAUAUACAUUGACACCUUUCAGUGUUGACUGACCGUUAAAUAUCAUGCGUGUUACACUUUCACAUCGAAUUGAAAUUGUCUAAAUUAAUUUUAUUUGUGUUAUCCUGCUGCGAUUCAUCCAGUUCAACCAUUGCUUCUGUGCUUGGAAAGAUUAGUUGGAGCUCCAAAUCUCAUAAGUCAUCUUUAGCAUUAUCAACUCUGACUACUCUUGUUAGCUUGGUGAAAUGAAAACAGGUGGUUCAAGAACUGCUCUGGCUCCUCGCCCUCUCUAAUUAUCUAUCAAUCACACAAUAAAACAGCAACAACAAAAUCAGGUUGAAUUACAAAACAAACCAUAACAAAAAGAAGAAAGACGAAGAAGUUAUGUUGAAAACAUAUAUUUGUUUUAAACAAACUACAAAGUAGAGUCAACUGACCAGAUGUUCAUGGCACAGAUAGGUCAUAGGUGAAAAAGAAAAUUACGUAACUUGCUUGGCAACUCAAAAAAAUUUCACCACACUCAACCAGUUCUGGGAAGACCCAUUUACACGUGCUACUAGGAUAGGUGAGCAAAUAACUCCUCCCAGAUCAGCAAAAUACAUUUCUUUGACACUCGUACUUGGCAUUUUAGAAGUCUCAAUGUUGAAGUAAUCGUGUCAUAAGUACAUUAAAACGGCCUUUGCAGGCCAAUAUAUGAUAGCAAUGAAACCGACAAGGAAGAAAUCCUCUGUUCACAUUCGCACAUAAGCCUUAGCAUGCUUCUUUAUCAGUUCUAGAUGGCUGAAUGGCUUAUGAGACAAGAAAACAAUAUUUGCAUAUUAUCUCUUGUCAACCUUGUCAUUUGUUACUGUUAGCUAUAUGUACUAUCUAUACAUGCUGAUAGAUGUAUGGCAGCCACAUUCUACAUGAAAGAGCAUUAACCUAUUCUAGUUGUAAAAUUGAGAACUUGAUUUAUCAUUCUCAUUACUGGUUUCAGGUACAUGAUUGCAAUCCACUUAACCAUGUUCCUGGGCCGUUAUGUUAUAAGAGCCUCAUGAUACUCCUCAAGACUUCUUAGGAUAACUUUGAAAAUCUAUCAUGAGAUAUUGGUUGAUUAUCUCCAAUGUGACCUUUGAGUAUAGGUGUGUGCAUCAAUAUUUUCACUGAAGGAAGUUGUGAAGAUCUUUGGUGACGGAUCCAUAUUUUCAUACAAAGGCAUCCUUUCUCCAGCAUAAUUUAAUGACUGUCAGCAAGCUCAGACUGGCCUACCACCAAACUCAACUUCCCCAACCUUCCUGUGGCAUCUUUGACCCACCUAGUGCCCUGUUAGGAAAAAGUAUUUCAUUACCACUAUAAGACAUGGCCAAGAUGGCCAUGUUAGCAUCUGAAAAACCUAGAUUUCUGGUAUAUUUCCCUCUGAUCUACUUUCUCACUUUUUUAUAUAAAUUUUGCAAUUUCUUUUGGUAUUUUCUUUGGACAUUUUGACGUUCCUUAGCUUGGCGACCAUUUUCCAUAUAUCUUGCCACCAUUUGCCAAAAGUGAAAUGUUUUUGUUUAUAUAUUUUCAAUUUUUAUUUGUUGCAUCUUUUAAUUUAAUUUUUUUUUUACAUACAUCUUGUGAUCUUUAUUAGGCUCGGCAUUAACUGUUUGUUCUCUCCUUGAAAAUAUAUUCCAAAUUAUUUUCUUGUACUUUUGGUUCUUUAACAGUUGGGUUCUUUGGAUUAGCCACACUUGCCAGCUGUCUUCAUGCAUUUAGAUAUCUUACCAUUGCACUUGCAUCUAAUAAAAUCCUCAUGAUGCCCUUCAUGAAUUCUUGCUAGCUAGGGAUGUUCAUGCUAACAUUGAGAGCAAACAGUCGGUAGCUUGUCACUGUCAACAGCCACAUCAUUGGAUAACACAUAUGUAGUCAUCUUAAUUGUUCCAAUCCAGUUCCUCGACUUCAUUUCAGGCCCAAAAUCCUGAAAUUUUAAGUAGAGCUGUCUCAUCAAUGUCUUCAUUAUUAUAACAUCAUUUUCUAAAAGCACAUAUCUGUACUUUAUCUUCUGGCCCUCACAUGGUCCUUCACUUUUCAUCUCUCCAAAGCCUGAUAAAAAGAACCUAAUAGAACUCGCUGGGCAUGCAUGUACCUAGAAAUCAUUUACUGGAGUGGCUACUAAUGCAUCUAUUACUCAGCUUGCCAGCUUGCCAAGCAUAUUUAUACAAUGUUUGAAAAGUUUCUGUGAUGACACAAAUAGUUCCAAUUUUCCAUCAUCAUCAAUGUCUCCUGCUUCAUUGACCUCAUAUGUUCGAUUCUAGACAAGAAAAGAUACAAAACUAGGUUUCUCCAGUCUAACCGCAUGAUCAAUGCCCCUGACCUCCUAGAUCAAUAUCAUAGAUUGGCCCCAUUAAACCAUAUUUCUACUUGAUUCAGAUAUAGUGUAGUGAAACCUACAGACUUGCCAACUCUUCCAAAUGUCCUAUACAUUCCUCGUAUGAACUUUUAUGAGUGAGCCUACUCCAUGUCUCCCUUUUCUUUUACAUGUUUUAUGCAAUGUUUAUCCUCAUAUAGGCCAAAGGACUAGGUCCAACCUAAGAGUGAGGGAGAUUAAUCAGUAAGAUUAUCUCUGUCACAUUCCCAUUCUUUACUUUAAAACCUUCAAUUUUUAGUUCCAGAGCCUAGUCCAUCUGAUUUAGAGCACCUUAUACUAGAUCAUUUAUCGGCUUCUAGUUUUAGUCUCUGUCUUCUUCAAUACUUUUGGUUGACCAGCGUUUGUUAUCAAACAACACUGAUGAAGGGCCCAGGUCCUGAGAAAACUGGUCAAUAGCUGAUGUUAAAUUGACGGGCAGAUUUUCAAAGAAUGUCAAAAACUAUGAUACUUGCAUAUGAUUUAAUCGGUAUGGUUAUGGUCAAAGCACUUGACCAUAUGCUUUUAUCUAGUGAAAUGAAUUCUUCUAAUAAUUUUGGUAUUGUUCAUAAUCAUUCAGGGACCAAAUACGUCACCUUCUAUUAGAGACUAUACAUAUUGCAUUUACUUCUUUGAUGGUUUCUAACAUUCUACCUCCAUUUACCAUUUGGAUUACCAUUUCAAUCAUAUGCAACAAUUAAGAUAACAUCACAUUGUGCACCUAUAUGGGUCAGUACUUCAAGAUUAUUACUUUUGAUAGUCCACUCAAAUACCCCUCGCUCAAGACGUAUGACAUUAAUGACACACGAUACCAAUCUUAAACACCUGUUUUCUGACAACCUUACAAGAAAUAGGUUGUUGAGGAAAAAAUUUAUCACUUUGAGACUACCUGCAUGCAACUCAUUUUUUUCGUGCCCAUUUAGAUCUAGGACAAGUCUGUAAUCUUAGUCAUUGACAGUCACUGACUUUAAUUUAGUAAAGAAACAAAAGGUUGAUUCUACACUUAUUAAGAUCUAGAAUUUAUUUCAGAUAUGCAAUAUCGGCAAUAAUCUGCAAACAAAUUAAGAUUUUUGAUGCAAGAAAAACAGCAUUGGACUGAAUUCACAAUGUGGAGGCCAAGUAGAAGACAUCAUUUCUUCUCAAAGUAGAAAAAAUGAAGAAAAAGAAGAACAGAAAAGAAGACACCAUAUUCUUUUCUUUUAUAUUCUCCUUUGUACUGCUCCACAACUACGGGUAACAAUAGGUCAAGUCAGAUUGGGUUUGUUCUUGGUUUGGGACCACAGGCCAUCUCUCAAAAGGAAAUGAUUCCUUAGAGAGAUAAGGAUAAUUUUGAUCAAGAAAUUAUCGUACUCACAUAUAUAUGGCUUCCAAUAGGAUCAAAAGCUACUAUUGAUUAUUGCCCAUCUUGGGGCAUUUCCAAUUACGAGAUCAUGUUCUGAAGUGCUGAAAAGAAGAGUAGAAGAAAAACGUUUUUUCCAUAAAUUGCUCAGUAAUAUAUGGCUUGGCAAAGAGCACACAAUCUCUAUUUUCAUUAUGCACAAUCUAAUGAUGUGGAGAUCAUUUUGUUUCGAAUUUCCCUAUUUUAUGAGAUGAAGGCCAUUUUUGCUUUGCUUAUGAUUUGUUUAAGAGGAUCAAAUGACCAUCUUCAUAAUUAACUAAACUCAGAGGACUAAUCAAGAAUAAUUUAACAGGGUUCACUUGGAAAAACACUAUAACAUUUUAAAUUUAGUUAUACUCAGGUAAUCAAGUCCAAAUUUAAAUAUGUCAAGCUCAAAGCCUCAAAUGAUUUAGUCAUAUGGAGAAAUUAGUCAAAAGGUAAUACUCAAGGGUUUAGAGAGUAAGCCUUUGAGUAGACUCAGAGGAUUAGGCCCAAAAUUACUUCAUAGUAACCUAUGAAGAAAGUAAAUGGAUCCAACAUUAUAUGAUAACAAUAACAAAUCUUUAAAUAUAUAUAUAUAGUAAUUCUAGAAUACAACAAUAGAACAAUCAAAUGACUUAGUCACUUGGAGAACUUAGUCAAAAGGUAAUACCUUAGGGUUUAGAUAGUAAACCUUUGAGUAGACUCAGAGGAUUAAGUCCAAAAUUGCUUCAUAGUAACCUAUGAAGCAAGCAAAUGGAUGCAACAUGACAUGAUACCAAUAUAACAAAUAGUUAAAAGAAUGUAAUUCUAGAACACAACAAUAAAACAUAAUACAAUAUCAACAGCAUCCACAAAAUCUAUUAUUUUGUCCACUUCAUUAUGUUUAUGCAGCAUGCACAUGAACAUAACAUGGUUUGAUGCACCAGUAUGACAAAUCUCGAAAGAAUAAAACAGGAUAUGACUGAAAUAUGCUAAUAAAACAUACCAUGCCAUCAAACUACUGUUCUCAAGCUUUUGGCAACAUCAACAUCGAAAAACUCCAUCAUUUGGUCAUGAUAAAAAAUCUAUAGGACAUGGUCCAUACUUACUCCAUAAAAUAACAUCAAUGUUACAUAUUCUAAAAUUAGCCAUACAUCAGAUCCAUAAUUAAAAGGUUAGCAUCCAUUAAAAGUAAAAAAAAACCCUAAAUAUAUCUAAGAAGUAUAUGAAGCCUUUUUUUAAUUUCUAAAAAUAUGAUACUCCAAAUGAGUACCUUACAUGUAUCCUAGCCCUAUCCUACAAUUCCUAAAAUCCCAUAUGUAUUGAAAACAAAGAUAGUGUGAAAUUCAAAGUAUUCAAGGGACAUAACUAGUUACAUGACAGGAGUUGAAGGGCUGUGCUACAUUUUCUUUUUAGCUGGCUCAAAGACUAAAUCAAAUUGUAUUCAGAAGAAAAUCACCAACAAGAUUCAAUCAAUUUAAGUUCUCCUAGCUAGAUCCAAUAGAUUGAACUUGAUGGGAGGCAAAAUGGAUCGUCCUACUCUAGCAUGGAGGCACCCAAUUCCGACCAAGCAGACCUCACUCAGCUUCUUCCAGCGUGGUCACCCUCAGGCCAGAUUUCAACCACAACAGAACUCAUGGAGGGUUUAAACCAAAGGAUUAGUCCCCUUUAAGCUUACAGAAGAUGGACUCAGGGCCUAGGAAAUGCAAAUCAUGCCAAGGAUGAGUUCAAUCAUUGAUGGGAUCAGUAAAGUUCAAGUUGGAACAGGCCUGCUGGGCAAAGUCAUCAUUAAAUUAGAAGACUUGCAAAGUCGCCAAAAUUUACGAAAACACCAGCUAAUAGCUUGGGAUGUAGGUUUCUUUAGGGUUCCCUUAUUUCGGAUAGAUCAACAUGUGUUAGCUGGUGACAUGACCAAGUAAAAGUGAGGCUCUUUUUGUUCCCACAAUGAGUAGGAAUUAUUACCCAGCAACAGUCUAGUUUCCUUAUUUCAUAACUGCUAGAAUAGAGUCCUAUUUAUAACUUUAUUUGAGUUGUCAAGGAAACUGUCGCCUAUAUAAGAUGUCUUUACAGUGAGGCUAAAUUAUUCUUUCUUAUUAAUAACAUUAUUUUUCCUUUUUUUCUCUUGAGAAAGUUGUGGUAUUCUGUUGUGAAGCCAAGGUUGAUUUGUGAGCUAAAGAAGACAGUUUUUUGUUUUUAGAUUUGGCCUUGUUUUAAGAGGAUGAUGUUAACAUUAGGUGGUAUCAAAGUGAGUUCUUCCUUGGCCUAACAGCAUUCAACAACAAAUAAAAGCAAUGGCACCUCCAAGAACAACACAACAAAUGGUUAAUAAGUGACUCAAGAUGUGUUUAGCACAUCACUCAAGGUGACUCAAAGAUCAAUCUACUACGAAGUUGAUGGGUCGAAUCAACUCUCUCUAGAUCAACUUAUGUACUGUGAUGAUGAUGGUGCUUGCAGUCACAUGGAUUGUGAUCCAAUGAAUAAGCUAAAUAGCCAAUUUCAACCCUACAAAGAAGGGUGUAGUAGUGAGGAGCUUGAUGAAGUUAUUAUUCAAAGAGAUGCUACAUGAACAAGACACCAAGAUGAAGACUAUCAUAUGAAGAUAAAUCUUCCAGCUUUUAAGAGACAAUAGAAUACCAAGGCUUCCUUGACUGGGUUGCUGAAAUCAAGAGGUUCUCUGAUUACAUGAAAAAUUGCAGGUUAAAGAAGGUGGAACUUUUCCCUUACACAUUGAAGGUUGGUGCUUCAACAUGCUGGGAAUGUCAACAAAGUGAAUUUGAUAUGGACAUGGCAGUUGAUAAAGAAUUUAUUAAAGGUACAACUUUUAUCCAUUAACCAUGAUCAAAUAUAAUUUCAAUGGUAUCAAAGUUGUAAACAAGGGAGUCACAACAUGACAAGGGAACCGGCCGAACCCCUGUUUCGUUCGAAAUAGAGGAACCGGCCGGACCCCUGUUUCGUUCAAAAUAGGAGAACCGGCCGCGGCCUCGCCUCCCGCGGCCUCCGCCGGCCUCCCUCCCUCUCCCUCGCCCGCUCACUCUCUCUUUCCUUUUUCUCCGGCACCAGUAACGAUUUUUGUUUCCAUUGCCGGAACCGUACCCAUGAGCUGCCGGUACUAGUCAGAAUGGCCGGAACUGCCCGGUCCGGGACAAUUCUGCCGACCCUGCUUGCUACCAUUCAUGACACCACCCGAUAGCUUGGGACAUAGAUUUCUUUCAAGUUUUCUUGUCAGACAGUCAAUAUGUGUUAGUGACAUAACCAUGUGAAAGUAAGCCUCCCUUUAUUCCAUAGAAGUAAGAAUCAUUACCUAGCAGCACUUCAGUUUAGUUUUUAUUGUAUAACUAUACUAGAACAUAUUUCAAUAGAAGUUCUAUGUCCUAUAUGUAAGGAGUCUCUCAUGAGUCUGAACUAUUUCUUCUUAUUAAUGAAACUGCUUUUCUUUUUUUUCCUUUCAAAAAGAAAGUUGUAGUUUUCCAUUGUGAAGCCAAAAUAGAUCUAUGAGUUCCGGAUGAUACUGUUCCUUUUCUAGCCUUGGGCUUGUUUUGAAUAGAUGGUGUUUAUCUUGUUUCUUUGCGCUCUCAUGCUUGUGCUAUGUCACCAGGCCAAAGCUGAAUUAGUUAAUUAUCCAGGAGGAUUGAACACACAUACUCCUUUGCGUCAUACAUGUAGAGAUUUGUACCUACAUUUAUCCAUGCAAGCUGGGCCUAGAGGGCUAAAUGUAAUUUAACAUUACCAGAUCAAAAGGAAAGAAUCCUUCAAAGUCCAAACCGAACAUUAUAGUGCCAAAACCUUUAGUAGGGAAACUAGUUGAGUCCAAAGACUUUAACAAUAUUGUAAACUCAAAAAUCCAUGCUCUAAGCUCAGUUAUUUUUUCAGAGAGACUAAGUUCCAACAUGAGACUUCAACCUAAAAGAUUGAGUUGUCAAGCAUUGGCUUCCAGGCGCUUAAGUCUCUUCUUCAAGUUUGUUUCUAGGAAUAUUCCUUGUCAUAUCUAUGCACAAGCCUAAAACCUAUACUUUGUUCAUGGAGGAAUAAUAUCCUCCUUUAAUUGGACACUGUGGAGCCCCCAUUUAGCUAUGAAAUACUUAGAAAGCUUAAUUCCAAGUUCCAAGUUCCAUAUGCGAUGAUCAUUUAUUUUAAGCAUUCACUUAGCUAAUCAAACUUAAAUAUGAGGUUUCUUACUUCUUGGAGGAUUUAUAUUCUCCUUGCAUUUAGUUCCAAAGGAUAAAAAUACCUAUUUUAUCAUGAGAGACCCAAAGUUCUCCUCUAGUUUCAUUUCAUGAAUUUGUUUUGUGUUUACGUAUAUGGUAAUUUCUAUUAAGAAUUUGAGAAAGAUUCAAAGUCCUCUUUAAUCUAGCUCCAUAAAAACUCAAAAUCCUGUGUUAAUUCAGCUCCAGGAGAAUAAGCCCCUCUCAAGGACUAAAAGGCCAUUUUCGUUAAAAGUUCGAAGUUUUCUAUAUUACACUUCAUUACUUUGAAACAAGGGUGACGCUGUUUCCGAGGUCGCUAAGCCCAAUUUAGCAAUGAAAGAAAAGUUUGGUUGGGGACCCAUUAAAGGGGGCAAUUACCCAUGAAAUAAACAGGAUGAGAUGUAUUAUCAAUCAAGACCUAUGGUACACUAGGCACAAUGCUCCAUACACCUAUCAUAGAAGAAAGAGUGAGACAAAAGAAUAAAGAAAAGAGAAAGAUAGGCAUGCAUCCCUUAUGCAUCUGAGAGCAAGGGAGUUAAGAAAAAGAAAGAAAGAAAAGCAUUAUGUAAGCUCACCUUGAAAGACCUAGUUGAGACAUCUCAUCCAAAAACGGAGAGUAAGGAUUUUUUAUGGCUUAAUUAGAGUGAUUUGAUAGGACUAUUAGGGUCAAGUGGAUUGAAAAGGCCUAAGAAGGCAAGGCUUGGUCUUUUCCUUUCCUCUCAAAGUGAAAGAGAACACCCCUUAUUAUGCAAGAGACUAAAGGGUCGACCUAAGCUUUAAAAAAGGCAGCAAAACAAUCAUCUUCUCAGGAUAGCUUUCAGAAAGGAGCCUUUUCAAGAAAAAUUUCCUCGAAAAGUAGAUGACCAUAGCACUUGAUCAUUGGAUUGAUAUACAUAAAAGAGUCACCAUUAGAUGGGUAGAAACAUUUUUCGCCAAUAGGGGUCAAUUUUAUAUCGGACUAUGACAUUAAGUGUUAGAUGAGUAUCAUUGUUGUUUAAAAAUCCCCUUGAAAAUUAGAGCUGGGAAUAAUCUUGAUCAAAAAUGGCCAGAUGUGGAUAUGCCAUUGUUAGAUGCAUGAAAGCCCUCUUUGAGAGUAAAACAACUUUAGUCUCUACCAUUCAAUCAUCGUGGAUGAAAGAUCUAUCUAGAAUAAGGGCCAAUAUUAAUUCAACCCUUGGAUUAGGUGCAAAUGAGCACAGCUGUAAGAUGAAAGUUGGAUUCAAUCCAAACUACAAAAUCUGGUUUAGACUGUAUUAUUUUGUUGAUUGGGCAAUAGCCCAUUAGGAAUGAGGGCUGGCUCAAUUCAGACCAUGGUAUUAAUGCAUAUAAGCACAGUGAUUACAUAGAUGAAAGUCCUUUACAAGGAUAAAUUAAGAUUCAAUUGGCUUGGGAAGGAAUGAGCCUCGACAUGAGAUGGACAAAAGCCCUCUAUAAGGGCAAUGUUUAGUUUCGAGCAUGUAUUGAAUGGUGGAAGUCUCCUUUAAGAGUGAAGGACACUCUGACCAUUUGUUAAGUCUUUACAACCAUGGGUGGGCAAAACCCUUCUAUAAGAGCAAUUGGUAGAUAUUUUAUCAACUUGUUAGAAUAGAAAGGGCUUCAAAGCCAUGUAGCAAGCUAGAGAGGAUGUAUAAAUUUAAUCAUGGACAUCCAUCAAGAUAUGGGUGUAAACAAGCAGAAAUUAGCAAACUAGGGCCAUGCUUAAGCUUGGCUUCUUUUAUAAUCAAACUAAGCAUAAGCUCAAUUAAGUUAAUUUCAAGUCAAACACAAGUUGUCUACAACAAACUCAUCUAAAGGACUUGUUAAACCUUGAGGUCCAUCAAGAAAUUCCUUUGAGCUAAUUUCCAUUAUUCUAUAUCAAUGCACUGGUUGGAAUUUUCAUUAGCAAUUAACAAUUACAGCUAUUAGCAGCAAUUUGUUUUGAAGGAUAUAGUAGGAGGGUACUUCCAUUUGUUUUGAAGGAUAUAGUAGGAGGGUAAGACCUAAGAUCACAUUGAAAGAACUAUGAAAAUAUAUGGAAUAGCUUGAAAUAAUAUUAGAGGUAGCCUAAAUAAAAAUACGUGGUGAAUGAGGAUUUGUAUAAAGCUGAUUUGAAAUAGUUAGAGAAAAGGCUCUAUAAUUAUGGUUGUUAUGGUUAAACGUUGUCAAGAGGCACAGUUCUUUAUAUAAAAUAUGUUAGUGCGUAAUAAAUAAAUACAAAAAAUCAAAUUUCUAUUCUAAUUAGUAACUAAAUUAAUACAUGAAAUAUACUAGUGAUUGUAUUUCGAGUUUAUUUGAACCAACCACCGAAUAAGCUAGGCAAAUUUCAUUCUCAGCUUGUUUUCUGACAGCAAGUCCUUUUCAAGCUGAACAGAGAGCAGAACACGAGCUACUCACUAAUGGCUUGCUCAUUUGAUUAGCCCUACAUCAGGAUAAUAAUGGAUUUAUGGUCAUCAAAAGCAUUAAACCAUAAUUAUUGACUUUCUAAAGGGUUAGGUUGAAAAUGCACAUAACAUAUGCAAACUGACUUAAAAGGGUGUUAACUCCUCCGUUAAACACCUUGGGUGAUAAACUACCAGAACAUCGAAACAUGGUAAACAUGACCACUUUAAAAGGGAUCAAAUAUUCAAACACUAGAUUGACAUGUUUAUUAAAUGGGUGAUAUGACUCGACACAUCUUAUUCUAUGGGCCAAACCUAUGCCAGUAAAAUAACAAAAUUACAAGGCUAACCCACUCUAGAUAGUUCAAACCCUAAAAGAGUGAAACAAAAGGGGAUUCUACUCCAUGAUGCUACAAAAGAUAGCAAAGGCAAUUAUACAUGUUGGGUUCCAUAUAAGUUAAGAAGCUCAUCCCAGUUGGCUUUCCAUAUUUAGUCAAAGAAGGCAGAAAUCAUGAAUUGAAUAUCAGCUCUUCAACCUACAUAAGGAAGAGAAGUUGUAUCUUAUGGCAUUCUUUACCAUAACCAUGAAGCCUGGUAUAAACAGCUGGGAUCCAUAAAAAUAAUUUAAGAACAAUCUAUAUUAGUGAGUUUACAAAUAUGAGUUACAUUUGUUAUUAAAGUACAGUUGAAGGUAACUACUUUCUAGCCCUUUAUAAGUUAAAAGUAAGAACUGUAUAGUACUUCUCAGUUGGAAUCAUGACAGGAAAACCACAUCAUAAUCCCUUUAUUUCCUUUCUCAAUCUUAGCCGGAAAGGUUGAGAUAGAUAGUGUAUAAUUUUAUUGCAGCUGCAGUGAUCAAGUCCUCAUAUGACAACAAAGAUCUAAGCUUAGAUUGUAUAAGUACAUCACUUCACUCCCCUACUUGCAACAAAAUGUGUUUAGACAUCAAAAGAUCUAACACUGUCAUAGAUUUUCAUUAGAAUCUGUCCUCAGUUGAAAGGUCAAUCCAUAUAGAAUUAUCAUUAUAAAGACAUCAAAUAAUGACAUCAUUUGCCAACCAAAUAACAUGAAAAGGUUUUUGCUUCCUUUGCAUUUUGCAAUAAAUAUCAACAGCAAAAAUAACAGUAAUUAUUGAAAGGCAAGUAAUAAUCAGCAUGUCACUUCCACAAGUUAGUUUGUGCAGUGUAUAAUCAAAAUUGCAGUGCAGGUAUGCAAGUCAUUGUUUUCAAGAAUUUAUUAGAUACCUGU